CAGUCGCCGCGGUAAUACGAAGGGGGCUAGCGUUGUUCGGAAUUACUGGGCGUAAAGCGCACGCAGGCGGCUCGAUAAAUUAGAAGUGAAAGCCUUGGGCUUAACCUGAGAAUUGCUUUUAAGACUGUCGAGCUAGAAUCCUGAAGAGGGUAGUGGAAUCCCGAGUGUAGAGGUGAAAUUCGUAGAUAUUCGGAAGAACACCAGUGGCGAAGGCGACUACCUGGUCUGGCAUUGACGCUCAUGUGCGAAAGCGUGGGGAGCAAACAGGAUUAGAUACCCCUGUAGUCCCUGUCUCUUAUAC
This 301-nucleotide ribosomal RNA is filed under the name uncultured bacterium. RNAcentral's name for it is "partial 16S ribosomal RNA". It matches the Rfam family "Bacterial small subunit ribosomal RNA", at positions 509 to 807 of the family's 1533-position model. The record is from RNAcentral.